This is a long non-coding RNA of Scaptodrosophila lebanonensis, 415 nucleotides long. RefSeq lists it as uncharacterized. The transcript is spliced from 2 exons. Lineage: Eukaryota; Metazoa; Arthropoda; Insecta; Diptera; Drosophilidae. The record is from RefSeq and is a predicted model, not a curated record.
UGGGAAUGUCUGCAAAAAAUCAGCAAUUAUUGAGAUGUAUAUAAACCCAAAUUCUAAUACGUACUCUUCUCCUUUAAAUAGGCAUGCAGCACAUCCUCGUCCUCAAAGUUAACAAUAGCCAGAGUACAGUUCGGCAUGUAGAAGUCCGUGAGAAGAUCAUCAAACAUCAUAUAUUGUGAUAAAUGGUGAGGAAUCGUCGGUGCUCCACAUUAGUCCACAACUCAAAGGCCAACGAGAAGGGCUUCUCUGCAGUAUAGUCGCGCGUAAAAUCAUUUAUCUCAAGAAACUUAGAUGCAUGCAUUUCGCUGAUCAAGGAUUCGAUCUGUAAAAUAUCAUAAAGAAAAGUCUUAAUUUGGGAUAUACAUAUACAUAUUUUAAAGUUGACUGAUAAUAAUAUAAAUAAUGUACAAAAUUA